CGUAAAUUCGAGCCCUGAACUGUCAAUGUAAUUCUAGCCGAAGUACCCGCUGAAGCCGGUACGGACGUGGAAAUGCUCGACGCCCCUGAACAGGGGCAUACCUCUGAACAAGAGGAAGACGUCAUAAUGGAAGAAGCCCCUGAACAAGAACACCCUCUUGAUGAGUUAGACCCCCGAAUAAUCGAUUAUGAACCACAUGCGACCCCAAUGGAAGAACUGGAAACUUUCCCAGUCAAUCCAGAAGACCCCAAUCAAGUCUUGCGCAUAGGGAAGUCAUUAUCGCCUGAAGCAAAAAUUGAGAUGAUACGAUUCCUGAAAGAAAACCUGGAUGUCUUCGCAUGGAAACAUGAGGAUAUGGUGGGAAUAGAUCCCAGGAUCAGUUGCCAUCACCUUAACAUCAACCCCUCCUAUGCCCCCCAUAGACAGAAGAGGCGCGCCCUAAACCCGGAACGGUACGAGGCGCUGAAAGACGAAGUAAGUAAACUUAAUCGCAGUGGUUUCAUCAGAGAGGCCAUAUAUCCGAGGUGGAUAUCCAACCCGGUUCUAGUGAAAAAGUCCAGCGGGAAAUGGAGGGUCUGUGUGGACUUCACAAACCUGAAUAAGGCAUGUCCCAAGGACAGCUUCCCACUUCCAAGAAUUGAUCAACUGGUGGACUCCACUGCUGGGCAUGAACUACUGAGUUUC
This 684-nucleotide long non-coding RNA is filed under the name Olea europaea subsp. europaea. The record is from RNAcentral. Lineage: Eukaryota; Viridiplantae; Streptophyta; Magnoliopsida; Lamiales; Oleaceae.